GACGAACGCUGGCGGCGCGCCUAACACAUGCAAGUCGAACAAGCGAGAGAGAGCUUGCUUUCUCGAGCGAGUGGCGAACGGGUGAGUAACGCGUGAGGAAUCUGCCUCAAAGAGGGGGACAACAGUUGGAAACGACUGCUAAUACCGCAUAAGCCCACGGUGCCGCAUGGCACAGAGGGAAAAGGAGUAAUCCGCUUUGAGAUGGCCUCGCGUCCGAUUAGCUAGUUGGUGAGGUAACGGCCCACCAAGGCGACGAUCGGUAGCCGGACUGAGAGGUUGAACGGCCACAUUGGGACUGAGACACGGCCCAGACUCCUACGGGAGGCAGCAGUGGGGAAUAUUGCACAAUGGGGGAAACCCUGAUGCAGCGACGCCGCGUGGAGGAAGAAGGUCUUCGGAUUGUAAACUCCUGUUGUUGGGGAAGAUAAUGACGGUACCCAACAAGGAAGUGACGGCUAACUACGUGCCAGCAGCCGCGGUAAAACGUAGGUCACAAGCGUUGUCCGGAAUUACUGGGUGUAAAGGGAGCGCAGGCGGGAAGACAAGUUGGAAGUGAAAUCUAUGGGCUCAACCCAUAAACUGCUUUCAAAACUGUUUUUCUUGAGUAGUGCAGAGGUAGGCGGAAUUCCCGGUGUAGCGGUGGAAUGCGUAGAUAUCGGGAGGAACACCAGUGGCGAAGGCGGCCUACUGGGCACCAACUGACGCUGAGGCUCGAAAGUGUGGGUAGCAAACAAGAUUAGAUACCCUGGUAGUCCACACCGUAAACGAUGAUUAUUAGGUGUUGGAGGAUUGACCCCUUCAGUGCCGCAGUUAACACAAUAAGUAAUCCACCUGGGGAGUACGACCGCAAGGUUGAAACUCAAAGGAAUUGACGGGGGCCCGCACAAGCAGUGGAGUAUGUGGUUUAAUUCGACGCAACGCGAAGAACCUUACCAAGUCUUGACAUCCCUUGACAGGCAUAGAAAUAUGUUUUCUCUUCGGAGCAAGGAGACAGGUGGUGCAUGGUUGUCGUCAGCUCGUGUCGUGAGAUGUUGGGUUAAGUCCCGCAACGAGCGCAACCCUUAUGGUCAGUUACUACGUAAGAGGACUCUGGCCAGACUGCCGUUGACAAAACGGAGGAAGGUGGGGAUGACGUCAAAUCAUCAUGCCCUUUAUGACUUGGGCUACACACGUACUACAAUGGCGCUAAGCAAAGAGAAGCAAGACCGCGAGGUGGAGCAAAACUCAGAAACAACGUCCCAGUUCGGACUGCAGGCUGCAACUCGCCUGCACGAAGUCGGAAUUGCUAGUAAUCGUGGAUCAGCAUGCCACGGUGAAUACGUUCCCGGGCCUUGUACA
RNAcentral lists this ribosomal RNA (1338 nucleotides) under uncultured bacterium. RNAcentral describes it as "bacterial SSU rRNA". It matches the Rfam family "Bacterial small subunit ribosomal RNA", at positions 28 to 1387 of the family's 1533-position model. The record is from RNAcentral.